This 427-nucleotide ribosomal RNA is filed under the name uncultured bacterium. RNAcentral describes it as "bacterial SSU rRNA". It matches the Rfam family "Bacterial small subunit ribosomal RNA", at positions 357 to 776 of the family's 1533-position model. The record is from RNAcentral.
GGGAAUUUUCGUCAAUGGGCGCAAGCCUGAACGAGCGAUGCCGCGUGAGUGAAGAAGGCCUUCGGGUCGUAAAGCUCUGUUGCGGGGGAAAAAAGGCAGCAUCAGGAAAUGGGUGCUGACUGAUGGUGCCCCGCCAGAAAGUCACGGCUAACUACGUGCCAGCAGCCGCGGUAAUCCGUAGGUGGCGAGCGUUAUCCGGAAUGAUUGGGCGUAAAGGGUGCGCAGGCGGUCCUGCAAGUCUGGAGUGAAACGCAUGAGCUCAACUCAUGCAUGGCUUUGGAAACUGGAGGACUGGAGAGCAGGAGAGGGCGGUGGAACUCCAUGUGUAGCGGUAAAAUGCGUAGAUAUAUGGAAGAACACCAGUGGCGAAAGCGGCUCUCUGGUCUGUAACUGACGCUGAGGUUCGAAAGCGUGGGUAGCAAACAGG